AGAGUUUGAUCCUGGCUCAGGAUGAACGCUGGCGGCGUGCUUAAUACAUGCAAGUCGAACGAAGACAGUAGCAAUAUUGUCUGAGUGGCGAACGGGUGAGUAACGCGUUGGUGACCUGCCUCGAAGAGAGGGAUAACAGUCCGAAAGGAUUGCUAAUACCCCAUGUGGUCGUUUGGAUUAGAUGCCUUAUGACUAAACGGAUUUAUUCGCUUCGAGAGGGGCCUGCGUCCCACCAGCUAGUUGGUAAGGUAAUGGCCUACCAAGGCGAUGACGGGUAGGGGACCUGAGAGGGUGGCCCCCCACAAUGGAACUGAAACACGGUCCAUACACCUACGGGUGGCAGCAGUAGGGAAUAUUGGUUAAUGUGCGAAAGCGCGAACCAGCAACGCCGCGUGUGCGAUGAAGGCCUUCGGGUCGUAAAGCACUUUUUGCAGGGACGAGGAAGGACGGUACCUGCAGAAUAAGUCUCGGCUAACUACGUGCCAGCAGCCGCGGUAAAACGUAGGAGACGAGCGUUAUCCGGAUUUACUGGGCGUAAAGCGCGUGCAGGCGGCAUGGCAAGUUGGAUGUGAAAGCUCCCGGCUUAACUGGGAGAGGUCGUUCAAUACUGCCAAGCUUGAGAGUGGUAGAGGGAAGCGGAAUUCCGGGUGUAGUGGUGAAAUGCGUAGAUAUCCGGAGGAACACCAGUGGCGAAAGCGGCUUCCUGGCCCAUUUCUGACGCUCAGACGCGAAAGCUAGGGUAGCAAACGGGAUUAGAGACCCCGGUAGUCCUAGCUGUAAACGAUGGAUGCUAGGUGUGGGGGGGUUUCCCUCUGUGCCCCCCCUAACGCCAAUAAGCUUCCCCCCGGGGGAGUUAGAAUUGCAGAUUGAAACUCCAAGGAAUUUAACGGGGGCC
RNAcentral lists this ribosomal RNA (895 nucleotides) under uncultured bacterium. RNAcentral's name for it is "bacterial SSU rRNA". It matches the Rfam family "Bacterial small subunit ribosomal RNA", at positions 8 to 921 of the family's 1533-position model. The record is from RNAcentral.